GACGAGGCACUACGGUGCUGAAGCAACAAAUGCCCUGCUUCCAGGAAAAGCCUCUAAGCAUCAGGUAACAUCAAAUCGUACCCCAAACCGACACAGGUGGUCAGGUAGAGAAUACCAAGGCGCUUGAGAGAACUCGGGUGAAGGAACUAGGCAAAAUGGUGCCGUAACUUCGGGAGAAGGCACGCUGACACGUAGGUGAAGUGAUUUACUCAUGGAGCUGAAGUCAGUCGAAGAUACCAGCUGGCUGCAACUGUUUAUUAAAAACACAGCACUGUGCAAACACGAAAGUGGACGUAUACGGUGUGACGCCUGCCCGGUGCCGGAAGGUUAAUUGAUGGGGUCAGCGCAAGCGAAGCUCCUGAUCGAAGCCCCGGUAAACGGCGGCCGUAACUAUAACGGUCCUAAGGUAGCGAAAUUCCUUGUCGGGUAAGUUCCGACCUGCACGAAUGGCGUAAUGAUGGCCAGGCUGUCUCCACCCGAGACUCAGUGAAAUUGAACUCGCUGUGAAGAUGCAGUGUACCCGCGGCAAGACGGAAAGACCCCGUGAACCUUUACUAUAGCUUGACACUGAACAUUGAGCCUUGAUGUGUAGGAUAGGUGGGAGGCUUUGAAGUGUGGACGCCAGUCUGCAUGGAGCCGACCUUGAAAUACCACCCUUUAAUGUUUGAUGUUCUAACGUGGACCCGUAAUCCGGGUUGCGGACAGUGUCUGGUGGGUAGUUUGACUGGGGCGGUCUCCUCCUAAAGAGUAACGGAGGAGCACGAAGGUUGGCUAAUCCUGGUCGGACAUCAGGAGGUUAGUGCAAUGGCAUAAGCCAGCUUGACUGCGAGCGUGACGGCGCGAGCAGGUGCGAAAGCAGGUCAUAGUGAUCCGGUGGUUCUGAAUGGAAGGGCCAUCGCUCAACGGAUAAAAGGUACUCCGGGGAUAACAGGCUGAUACCGCCCAAGAGUUCAUAUCGACGGCGGUGUUUGGCACCUCGAUGUCGGCUCAUCACAUCCUGGGGCUGAAGUAGGUCCCAAGGGUAUGGCUGUUCGCCAUUUAAAGUGGUACGCGAGCUGGGUUUAGAACGUCGUGAGACAGUUCGGUCCCUAUCUGCCGUGGGCGCUGGAGAACUGAGGGGGGCUGCUCCUAGUACGAGAGGACCGGAGUGGACGCAUCACUGGUGUUCGGGUUGUCAUGCCAAUGGCACUGCCCGGUAGCUAAAUGCGGAAGAGAUAAGUGCUGAAAGCAUCUAAGCACGAAACUUGCCCCGAGAUGAGUUCUCCCUGAGACUUAGAGUCUCCUGAAGGAACGUUGAAGACGACGACGUUGAUAGGCCGGGUGUGUAAGCGCAGCGAUGCGUUGAGCUAACCGGUACUAAUGAACCGUGAGGCUUAACCUUACAACGCCAAAG
Molecule: ribosomal RNA, 1393 nt
Filed under: Salmonella enterica
Lineage: Bacteria; Pseudomonadati; Pseudomonadota; Gammaproteobacteria; Enterobacterales; Enterobacteriaceae
Description: bacterial LSU rRNA
Rfam family: Bacterial large subunit ribosomal RNA
Source: RNAcentral